GGCCCGCUGGCGCAAUGGUAGCGCAUUGCUUUCCGGUAGCAAAGGCUGUGGGUUCGAGUCCCAUGCGGGUCG
The sequence is a transfer RNA, 72 nucleotides long. It matches the Rfam family "tRNA". Rfam says of the family: Transfer RNA (tRNA) molecules are approximately 80 nucleotides in length. Their secondary structure includes four short double-helical elements and three loops (D, anti-codon, and T loops). The record is from Rfam.